Molecule: ribosomal RNA, 456 nt
Filed under: uncultured bacterium
Lineage: Bacteria
Description: bacterial SSU rRNA
Rfam family: Bacterial small subunit ribosomal RNA
Source: RNAcentral
GCAAAUCGAGCGGAGUUUUGGUGGUUGCACCAAGACUUAGCGGCGGACGGGUGAGUAAUGCUUAAGAAUUUGCCUAUUAGUGGGGGACAACGUUUUGAAAGGAACGCUAAUACCGCAUACGUCCUACGGGAGAAAGCAGGGGAUCUUUGGACCUUGCGCUAAUAGAUGAGCCUAAGUUGGAUUAGCUAGUUGGUGGGGUAAAGGCCUACCAAGGCGACGAUCUGUAGCGGGUUUGAGAGGAUGAUUCGCCCCACUGGGACUGAGACACGGCCCCGACUCCUUCGGGAGGCAGCAGUGGGAAAUAUUGGACAAUGGGCGAAAGCCUGAUCCAGCCAUGCCGCGUGUGUGAAGAAGGCCCUUUGGUUGUAAAGCACUUUAAGCGAGGAGGAGGAGCUUCAGGUUAAUACCCUGGAUGCUUGGACGUUACUAGCAGAAUAAGCCCCGGCUAACUUUGUG